Molecule: transfer RNA, 69 nt
Filed under: Rhomboptera ligata
Lineage: Eukaryota; Metazoa; Arthropoda; Insecta; Orthoptera; Tettigoniidae
Description: tRNA-Gln
Source: RNAcentral
UAUAUUUUAGUGUAAGAUGCACGAAAGGGUUUGAUACUUUAAGUAAUAGUUUGAUUCUAUUAAAUAUAG